Molecule: ribosomal RNA, 744 nt
Filed under: uncultured bacterium
Lineage: Bacteria
Description: partial 16S ribosomal RNA
Rfam family: Bacterial small subunit ribosomal RNA
Source: RNAcentral
UGCAGUCGACGGUAACAGGGGUAGCAAUACCUGCUGACGAGUGGCGUACGGGUGCKWAACACGUACACAAUCUGCCUUAUACUGGAGCAUACCCCCAAGAAAUUGGGACUAACUCUCCAUAACAUUUUGAAGCGGCAUCGCUUUAAAAUUAAAACUCCGGKGGUAUAARAKRAKKGKGCSYUCRAUWARAURGUUGGKGAGGUAACGGCUCACCAAGUCAACGAUCGAUAGCUGGUCUGAGAGGACGAUCAGCCACACGGGCACUGAGACACGGGCCCGACUCCUACGGGAGGCAGCAGUAGGGAAUAUUGGACAAUGGGCGCAAGCCUGAUCCAGCCAUCCCGCGUGAAGGAUUAAGGCCCUCUGGGUUGUAAACUUCUUUUCUCUGGGAAUAAAAAGUGGGAUUUAUCCUGCCUUGAAGGUACCARAGGAAUAAGCACCGGCUAACUCCGUGCCAGCAGCCGCGGUAAUACGGAGGGUGCAAGCGUUAUCCGGAUUCACUGGGUUUAAAGGGUGCGUAGGUGGCUUUGUAAGUCAGUGGUGAAAUAUUGCGGCUCAACCGCAAAACUGCCAUUGAUACUGCUUAGCUUGAAUCAAGUCGAGGUGGAUGGAAUAAUACAUGUAGCGGUGAAAUGCUUAKAUAUGUAUUAGAACACCGAUUGCGAAGGCAGUUCACUAGGCUUGUAUUGACACUGAGGCACGAAAGCGUGGGGAUCAAACAGGAUUAGAUACCCUGGUAGUCCA